RNAcentral lists this ribosomal RNA (1344 nucleotides) under metagenome. RNAcentral's name for it is "bacterial SSU rRNA". It matches the Rfam family "Bacterial small subunit ribosomal RNA", at positions 119 to 1459 of the family's 1533-position model. The record is from RNAcentral.
CGGAACGUACCAUUCAGUGGGGGAUAACGUAGCGAAAGUUACGCUAAUACCGCAUAUUCUGUGAGCAGGAAAGCAGGGGAUCGCAAGACCUUGCGCUGAUUGAGCGGCCGAUAUCAGAGUAGCUUGUUGGUGAGGUAAAAGCUCACCAAGGCGACGAUCUGUAGCGGGUCUGAGAGGAUGAUCCGCCCACUGGAACUGAGAUACGGUCCAGACUCCUACGGGAGGCAGCAGUGGGGAAUUUUGGACAAUGGGGGCAACCCUGAUCCAGCCAUGCCGCGUGAGUGAAGAAGGCCUUCGGGUUGUAAAGCUCUUUCAGCCGGGAAGAAAACGCAUGGGUUAAUACCCUGUGUGGAUGACGGUACCGGAAUAAGAAGCACCGGCUAACUACGUGCCAGCAGCCGCGGUAAUACGUAGGGUGCGAGCGUUAAUCGGAAUUACUGGGCGUAAAGCGUGCGCAGGCGGUUUUGUAAGACAGGCGUGAAAUCCCCGGGCUUAACCUGGGAACUGCGUUUGUGACUGCAAGGCUAGAGUACGGCAGAGGGGGGUGGAAUUCCACGUGUAGCAGUGAAAUGCGUAGAGAUGUGGAGGAACACCAAUGGCGAAGGCAGCCCCCUGGGUCGAUACUGACGCUCAUGCACGAAAGCGUGGGUAGCAAACAGGAUUAGAUACCCUGGUAGUCCACGCCCUAAACGAUGUCAACUAGGUGUUGGGAGGGUAAAACCUUUUAGUACCGGAGCUAACGCGUGAAGUUGACCGCCUGGGGAGUACGGCCGCAAGGUUAAAACUCAAAGGAAUUGACGGGGACCCGCACAAGCGGUGGAUGAUGUGGAUUAAUUCGAUGCAACGCGAAAAACCUUACCUACCCUUGACAUGCCAAGAACUUUCCAGAGAUGGAUUGGUGCCCGAAAGGGAACUUGGACACAGGUGCUGCAUGGCUGUCGUCAGCUCGUGUCGUGAGAUGUUGGGUUAAGUCCCGCAACGAGCGCAACCCUUGUCGUUAAUUGCCAUCAUUUAGUUGGGCACUUUAACGAGACUGCCGGUGACAAACCGGAGGAAGGUGGGGAUGACGUCAAGUCCUCAUGGCCCUUAUGGGUAGGGCUUCACACGUCAUACAAUGGUCGGUACAAAGGGUCGCCAAGCCGCGAGGUGGAGCCAAUCCCAGAAAGCCGAUCGUAGUCCGGAUCGCAGUCUGCAACUCGACUGCGUGAGGUCGGAAUCGCUAGUAAUCGUGGAUCAGAAUGUCACGGUGAAUACGUUCCCGGGUCUUGUACACACCGCCCGUCACACCAUGGGAGCGGGUUCCGCCAGAAGUAGGUAGCCUAACCGCAAGGAGGGCGCUUACCA